This 1346-nucleotide ribosomal RNA is filed under the name Escherichia coli. RNAcentral describes it as "partial 23S ribosomal RNA". It matches the Rfam family "Bacterial large subunit ribosomal RNA", at positions 165 to 1555 of the family's 2925-position model. Lineage: Bacteria; Pseudomonadati; Pseudomonadota; Gammaproteobacteria; Enterobacterales; Enterobacteriaceae. The record is from RNAcentral.
CAUAGGUUAAUGAGGCGAACCGGGGGAACUGAAACAUCUAAGUACCCCGAGGAAAAGAAAUCAACCGAGAUUCCCCCAGUAGCGGCGAGCGAACGGGGAGGAGCCCAGAGCCUGAAUCAGUGUGUGUGUUAGUGGAAGCGUCUGGAAAGGCGCGCGAUACAGGGUGACAGCCCCGUACACAAAAAUGCACAUGCUGUGAGCUCGAUGAGUAGGGCGGGACACGUGGUAUCCUGUCUGAAUAUGGGGGGACCAUCCUCCAAGGCUAAAUACUCCUGACUGACCGAUAGUGAACCAGUACCGUGAGGGAAAGGCGAAAAGAACCCCGGCGAGGGGAGUGAAAAAGAACCUGAAACCGUGUACGUACAAGCAGUGGGAGCCUCUUAAUGGGGUGACUGCGUACCUUUUGUAUAAUGGGUCAGCGACUUAUAUUCUGUAGCAAGGUUAACCGAAUAGGGGAGCCGAAGGGAAACCGAGUCUUAACUGGGCGUUAAGUUGCAGGGUAUAGACCCGAAACCCGGUGAUCUAGCCAUGGGCAGGUUGAAGGUUGGGUAACACUAACUGGAGGACCGAACCGACUAAUGUUGAAAAAUUAGCGGAUGACUUGUGGCUGGGGGUGAAAGGCCAAUCAAACCGGGAGAUAGCUGGUUCUCCCCGAAAGCUAUUUAGGUAGCGCCUCGUGAAUUCAUCUCCGGGGGUAGAGCACUGUUUCGGCAAGGGGGUCAUCCCGACUUACCAACCCGAUGCAAACUGCGAAUACCGGAGAAUGUUAUCACGGGAGACACACGGCGGGUGCUAACGUCCGUCGUGAAGAGGGAAACAACCCAGACCGCCAGCUAAGGUCCCAAAGUCAUGGUUAAGUGGGAAACGAUGUGGGAAGGCCCAGACAGCCAGGAUGUUGGCUUAGAAGCAGCCAUCAUUUAAAGAAAGCGUAAUAGCUCACUGGUCGAGUCGGCCUGCGCGGAAGAUGUAACGGGGCUAAACCAUGCACCGAAGCUGCGGCAGCGACACUAUGUGUUGUUGGGUAGGGGAGCGUUCUGUAAGCCUGUGAAGGUGGCCUGUGAGGGUUGCUGGAGGUAUCAGAAGUGCGAAUGCUGACAUAAGUAACGAUAAAGCGGGUGAAAAGCCCGCUCGCCGGAAGACCAAGGGUUCCUGUCCAACGUUAAUCGGGGCAGGGUGAGUCGACCCCUAAGGCGAGGCCGAAAGGCGUAGUCGAUGGGAAACAGGUUAAUAUUCCUGUACUUGGUGUUACUGCGAAGGGGGGACGGAGAAGGCUAUGUUGGCCGGGCGACGGUUGUCCCGGUUUAAGCGUGUAGGCUGGUUUUCCAGGCAAAUCCGGAAAACCAAGG